UCCGCACGGAGCACAAGCCUUGCACCUAUCAACAAUGUCCCUGCAACCGACUUCGGGAAGAGUGCCCCCUGGACACAAGUCUCUGUACUGACACCAACUGUGCCUCUCAGAGCACCACCAGUACCAGGACCACCACUACCCCCUUCCCCACCAUCCACCUCAGAAGCAGUCCCACCCUGCCACCCGCCAGCCCCUGCCCAGCCCUGGCUUUUUGGAAACGGGUCAGGAUUGGCCUGGAGGAUAUUUGGAAUAGCCUCUCUUCAGUGUUCACAGAGAUGCAACCAAUAGACAGAAACCAGAGGUAAUGGCCACUUCAUCCACAUGAGGAGAUGAACCACUUCUCCAGAGGGCGAGAAUGGAGGAGGGGGACCUGUCCAUCACAGCAACAUGCGAACACAAGCAAAACACUGAAUAAAGAAUUGUUUGGAGAUUA
Molecule: small RNA, 433 nt
Filed under: Pan troglodytes (chimpanzee)
Lineage: Eukaryota; Metazoa; Chordata; Mammalia; Primates; Hominidae
Description: processed transcript
Source: RNAcentral